UUUGCAACACUACAAAAUUAAAGACUCUACGUCUCUACCACAAUUUCACUCAAAACAAUACAAGGGAGGAAGCGCAGAUAGCUAGCAGCAGUGAAAGUGAUCGUGCAGAGAGAGUGAGAGAUGGAGGUUCCCGGUUCAUCGAAGAAGAUGAUAGCGACGCAGGAGGAGAUGGUGGAAGCGAAGGUUCCCCUUGCAUACAGGGACCAGUGCGCACACCUCCUCAUCCCUCUCAACAAGUGCCGCCAGGCCGAGCUCUACCUUCCAUGGAAGUGCGAGAACGAACGUCACUCCUACGAGAAGUGCCAGUACGAGCUCCUCAUGGAGCGCAUGCUUCAGAUGCAGAAGAUCAAGGAACGAGCCUCCCUUAAUCACCCCCAAUCCAAGGGCAUCGCCUUUCCCGUCAUCCCUAAAACCGCCAAUGCCUGAUUCAUUCCAGGAACCUUUGCUUGGGUGGGAGUUCCUUCAUGUUUUUCAGUUGUGUGAAGUCGAAAUUACCUUGGAUUGUUUGUCCAGAGACUACCAAAGACUGUUUAUACUUUAAUUCUCGCAAUUUCUCAUCAUGGACACAUGUUUUUACUUGAAAGUAAUAAAUUUUUCUUAACUUUUCAUAAGUGGAGAUAUGGUUGGUUUGCCACUUCUAUUCCCUGACCAAUCAUCACAUAUGUUUGAAAUAUUUUUGUUAAGGUGAAUUCUAUGGUGUAGAAAUAAUUUUUUUCUACACAUGAGGAAACUAACGUGGCAUAGAUUUAGGAGUGAUAUCUAUCUCUUGCUAUUAUUGCUUUGAUCAGAUGUGACAAGAUCAAUGUUCUGAAAACCGGUUCGAACCGGACGGUCGAACCGGUCGAACCGCAAACCGCUAUCAAUUACGGUUCGGACAGAAGGCAAAACCAACAAAUUUGAAAACCGCCAUUGGAUUGUUGAACCGGCCGGAAACCGGUCGGUCGAACCGAACCGUGACCCGGCCGGUUUUUGAAUCUAAACAAAAACGAUGCGUCUUGUUGUGCAGGGAUGGCAACCCUAAGUUCCCUAACCCCUCUUCCUUCUAAGUUCCCUAACCCCUCUUCCUUCUAGUCUCCAGGACAACGCGAAGCAGCAGUCCAGAGUCCAGAAUGUAGCCCCAAUUCGUCUCAACCUCAUCGAAGCCGCCGGCGCAUGUCCGUCCAGCCACCGCCGCCGUCCCAACUUCGAGCUUCGAAGGCAACGGCGCAACGUCCGUCCAGCCACCGCCGUUUGAGCUUCGAAAAUCGAAGCCACCGUCGCCGGUCUCGCCUCUUGCCUCCGUCGCGCAGCCACUUCCCGCCGGUGCCAGCUCUGUUCCACACCACCACGUCAGCCACUGUCUUCCCAGCCACUGUCCCCAGCCACUUCCACACCCUCGCCAGCUCUGCCCUGUUCCAGCCUUCCAGGAUCCAGCUUCUAGCCUAGCUGUCAUUGGAGCCAUUCACACAACCACUUUGGCCAAGCUCUCUGCUAAAAGGCAAGAAGUUCUUUCUCCAGCAGGCAACAUUGUUGAACAGGGAACUGGAUAAUAUAAAGAUAAAGAGUGCUAUAAGAUGUUUCAAGAUUUUGAGUUAAUAUACCAAUGAAUUAUCAACUCAAUCUGCUAGAGACGCUAGGGCAGCUCUUUGGGCCUAAUACAACUCUCUUUUUGGCUGGCGAGCUUCGAAAUGAUGCCAUUCUUGAGUACUUCCUAGAAGCUGCAAUGAACAAUUUCAGAAUUGGUCGCAUUGAUCAAAAUCUGUGGCAUCCUGAUUAUCGCAGCAACCGAGUUGUUCUUUAUGUUCUUGUGAAGAAAUGAAGGUUUCAGAAUUAAUGAAACUAUGUGUUACUUUAUAGUUUAUACUCUACUAGAGUGUGACCUUCCUAACGCUAGGAUUCAUUGUAAAAGUUAUUCUCCUUCCAUGUAUUAUUUUUUGAUAUCAUGCUCAUUUUGAGAAGCCUAACAAUUUUGUUUUGACAGAUAAAAGUGGACUAUGAUCUGGGAACCAUUUUCAGUGAAUUCAUUCACAACCACUGUUAAGAAGACACAAUAUUGUAAUGCUUGAUGGAACAACUAAAACUCCAA
Arachis duranensis is the source of this 2065-nucleotide long non-coding RNA. RefSeq lists it as uncharacterized. The transcript is spliced from 5 exons. NCBI's taxonomy places the organism in Eukaryota, Viridiplantae, Streptophyta, Magnoliopsida, Fabales, Fabaceae. The record is from RefSeq and is a predicted model, not a curated record.